This 1332-nucleotide ribosomal RNA is filed under the name uncultured bacterium. RNAcentral describes it as "bacterial SSU rRNA". It matches the Rfam family "Bacterial small subunit ribosomal RNA", at positions 28 to 1381 of the family's 1533-position model. The record is from RNAcentral.
GACGAACGCUGGCGGCGCGCCUAACACAUGCAAGUCGAACGAGCGAGAGAGAGCUUGCUUUCUCGAGCGAGUGGCGAACGGGUGAGUAACGCGUGAGGAACCUGCCUCAAAGAGGGGGACAACAGUUGGAAACGACUGCUAAUACCGCAUAAGCCCACGGCUCGGCAUCGAGCAGAGGGAAAAGGAGUAAUCCGCUUUGAGAUGGCCUCGCGUCCGAUUAGCUAGUUGGUGAGGUAACGGCCCACCAAGGCAACGAUCGGUAGCCGGACUGAGAGGUUGAACGGCCACAUUGGGACUGAGACACGGCCCAGACUCCUACGGGAGGCAGCAGUGGGGAAUAUUGCACAAUGGGGGAAACCCUGAUGCAGCGACGCCGCGUGGAGGAAGAAGGUCUUCGGAUUGUAAACUCCUGUUGUUGGGGAAGAUAAUGACGGUACCCAACAAGGAAGUGACGGCUAACUACGUGCCAGCAGCCGCGGUAAAACGUAGGUCACAAGCGUUGUCCGGAAUUACUGGGUGUAAAGGGAGCGCAGGCGGGAAGACAAGUUGGAAGUGAAAUCUAUGGGCUCAACCCAUAAACUGCUUUCAAAACUGUUUUUCUUGAGUAGUGCAGAGGUAGGCGGAAUUCCCGGUGUAGCGGUGGAAUGCGUAGAUAUCGGGAGGAACACCAGUGGCGAAGGCGGCCUACUGGGCACCAACUGACGCUGAGGCUCGAAAGUGUGGGUAGCAAACAGGAUUAGAUACCCUGGUAGUCCACACCGUAAACGAUGAUUACUAGGUGUUGGAGGAUUGACCCCUUCAGUGCCGCAGUUAACACAAUAAGUAAUCCACCUGGGGAGUACGACCGCAAGGUUGAAACUCAAAGGAAUUGACGGGGGCCCGCACAAGCAGUGGAGUAUGUGGUUUAAUUCGACGCAACGCGAAGAACCUUACCAAGUCUUGACAUCCCUUGACAGGCAUAGAAAUAUGUUUUCUCUUCGGAGCAAGGAGACAGGUGGUGCAUGGUUGUCGUCAGCUCGUGUCGUGAGAUGUUGGGUUAAGUCCCGCAGCGAGCGCAACCCUUAUGGUCAGUUACUACGCAAGAGGACUCUGGCCAGACUGCCGUUGACAAAACGGAGGAAGGUGGGGAUGACGUCAAAUCAUCAUGCCCUUUAUGACUUGGGCUACACACGUACUACAAUGGCGUUAAACAAAGAGAAGCAAGACCGCGAGGUGGAGCAAAACUCAGAAACAACGUCCCAGUUCGGACUGCAGGCUGCAACUCGCCUGCACGAAGUCGGAAUUGCUAGUAAUCGUGGAUCAGCAUGCCACGGUGAAUACGUUCCCGGGCCU